GACGAACGCUGGCGGCGUGCUUAACACAUGCAAGUCGAACGGAAAGGCCCUGCUUUUGUGGGGUGCUCGAGUGGCGAACGGGUGAGUAACACGUGAGUAACCUGCCCUUGACUUUGGGAUAACUUCAGGAAACUGGGGCUAAUACCGGAUAGGAGCUCCUGCUGCAUGGUGGGGGUUGGAAAGUUUCGGCGGGUGGGGAUGGACUCGCGGCUUAUCAGCUUGUUGGUGGGGUAGUGGCUUACCAAGGCUUUGACGGGUAGCCGGCCUGAGAGGGUGACCGGCCACAUUGGGACUGAGAUACGGCCCAGACUCCUACGGGAGGCAGCAGUGGGGAAUAUUGCACAAUGGGCGGAAGCCUGAUGCAGCAACGCCGCGUGCGUGAUGACGGCCUUCGGGUUGUAAACCGCUUUCGCCUGUGACGAAGCGUGAGUGACGGUAAUGGGUAAAGAAGCACCGGCUAACUACGUG
RNAcentral lists this ribosomal RNA (468 nucleotides) under uncultured bacterium. RNAcentral describes it as "partial 16S ribosomal RNA". It matches the Rfam family "Bacterial small subunit ribosomal RNA", at positions 28 to 507 of the family's 1533-position model. The record is from RNAcentral.